CCAAGAUCCUCCCCUCCUCUACUUUGUACCCUUUGCCCCCUGAAUUCGAAAUCACUUCCUGUUUUCUGUCCACCCCAGGACGUUUGUCACCUCCUGGCCCUUGCCUGACAGUUCUGCCCUGGGCCCUCCUUCAUUCCUCUCCCCUAGGAAGCCAGGGGCCUUCCCUGGCUCUGACCUCGCCCUCUUUCACCGUCCUUCCCAAUAAAUAAUGUGCUUAUUAUUUAUUGAUCUGGACAGAGGCCUUCCCUGUCUCCUCUUGUCCUUGAGAGUCCUGCGGACUGGCCGGUGUCUUGCUUUUUGGGCCUCAGCCCACCGUGAGCUGGUCCCAGAUCCGUCGGAAACCUGUGGACAUGGACUGAAGCUCAAGGACUUGGCCUAGGGAUGCUGAGGGGACACACCAGGCCUGCAGGGUGUAGGUGUGACAGCCUGCCCCUUGACAGGACGCGGUGUCAGAAUAACAAGGGUGACAGCACCAGGCAGCCGCUGACACCGGAAGCUGCCUGGUGCCAAGUGUUGGCACAAUGGCCUCAGGAGUCCAACUCUCACUCAUCCCCCUUUGCAGAUGAGGAUCCUGGGCUCUUCAGGUUGGGCACAUCCAGCUUUCGAGUAAACUGAAGGCCAGGGAAGUUCCUCAUGGCUCCUGGUUGGAGGGAGGGGUGGUGGGAGCUGGCCGCGGCUGCUGUUGAGAGUCAUCCAGUGCCUACGGAAGAGGAAGAAGCAGAGGACGACGAAGCCAGUAGAGCUCUUGGCGCCCAGGGUCUGAACCUUUGGAGCUUUCUCGGUCUCUGGCAGGCCCCACUCUGGCCUCUUCUCACCCCUGCAGGACUGGGCCCAGACUUCCCAGGAACCCGGGAUCCUAGGGUGAGGUUUGGCUGCCACUGGAAGCAAGGAAGAAAUGAAAGCUCUGGGUUCUGGAGGAAGAGCUCUCGGGAGGCUGUGUGAGACACUCGGAUACCUCACAAGCAGAAACUGGGCGAUGGUGUUGCCACUGUGACCCAUAAAUAAUGAUAUUUCUAUACCCGAUGGGCCUUCCACUAGCUAUGGCUGUAGGGAGGGAGGACCUGCAAGAAACAAUCUGCUUAUACGUGGCUACUGCUGGGCACAGAGGGUCAAAUCUCACUUGGCAGUGAUGGGGACAGCAUGAGUGCUUAGCCAGUGGUGCCCGGGGGGGUGAGACAGGCCCUGACAGCCAGGGCUUAGGUCAUCUGUGACAGUUGGCACUGUCUCCUUGACAGCCUAGACUCACCAGGGAGACGGGCCUGUGGCCUGGCCCCUGGGGAUGGUCUUGAUCAUGUUAACUGAGCCCCAUCUUGAUUGCGGGUGGGACUGCUCUCUAGGUCAGGAGAUCCCGACUGUAUAAAACGGAGAGAGCACUCGCAUACGUUUAUCUCUGGUGUUUCCUGAUUACAGAUUCCAUGUGACCAGCUGCUUCGAGCCCCUGCUGCCCUGCCCCCCCCCCCCCCCGCCCGCCAUGAUGGA
Molecule: long non-coding RNA, 1479 nt
Organism: Mesocricetus auratus (golden hamster)
Lineage: Eukaryota; Metazoa; Chordata; Mammalia; Rodentia; Cricetidae
Exons: 3
Source: RefSeq, a predicted model, not a curated record